RNAcentral lists this ribosomal RNA (492 nucleotides) under uncultured bacterium. RNAcentral's name for it is "partial 16S ribosomal RNA". It matches the Rfam family "Bacterial small subunit ribosomal RNA", at positions 29 to 507 of the family's 1533-position model. The record is from RNAcentral.
AGUGAACGCUGGCGGUAGGCCUAACACAUGCAAGUCGAACGGCAGCACAGUAAGAGCUUGCUCUUACGGGUGGCGAGUGGCGGACGGGUGAGGAAUACAUCAGAAUCUACUUUUUCGUGGGGGAUAACGUAGGGAAACUUACGCUAAUACCGCAUACGACCUACGGGUGAAAGCAGGGGAUCUUCGGACCUUGCGCGAUUGAAUGAGCCGAUGUCGGAUUAGCUAGUUGGCGGGGUAAAGGCCCACCAAGGCGACGAUCCGUAGCUGGUCUGAGAGGAUGAUCGGCCACACUGGAACUGAGACACGGUCCAGACUCCUACGGGAGGCAGCAGUGGGGAAUAUUGGACAAUGGGCGCAAGCCUGAUCCAGCCAUACCGCGUGGGUGAAGAAGGCCUUCGGGUUGUAAAGCCCUUUUGUUGGGAAAGAAAAGCAGCAGGUUAAUACCCCGCUGUUCUGACGGUACCCAAAGAAUAAGCACCGGCUAACUUCGUG